RNAcentral lists this ribosomal RNA (253 nucleotides) under uncultured Bellilinea sp. Its description in RNAcentral is "partial 16S ribosomal RNA". It matches the Rfam family "Bacterial small subunit ribosomal RNA", at positions 524 to 776 of the family's 1533-position model. Lineage: Bacteria; Bacillati; Chloroflexota; Anaerolineae; Anaerolineales; Anaerolineaceae. The record is from RNAcentral.
AACGUAGGAGGCUAGCGUUAUCCGGAUUUACUGGGCGUAAAGCGCGUGUAGGCGGCUCGGUCAGUCGGACGUUAAAUCUCCCGGCUCAACUGGGAGGCGCCGUUCGACACUACCGGGCUUGAGGGCAGUAGAGGGAGGUGGAAUUCCGGGUGUAGCGGUGAAAUGCGUAGAUAUCCGGAGGAACACCUGUGGCGAAAGCGGCCUCCUGGACUGCUCCUGACGCUCAGACGCGAAAGCUAGGGGAGCGAACGGG